This 468-nucleotide ribosomal RNA is filed under the name uncultured bacterium. RNAcentral describes it as "partial 16S ribosomal RNA". It matches the Rfam family "Bacterial small subunit ribosomal RNA", at positions 28 to 507 of the family's 1533-position model. The record is from RNAcentral.
GACGAACGCUGGCGGCGUGCUUAACACAUGCAAGUCGAACGGAAAGGCCCUGCUUUUGUGGGGUGCUCGAGUGGCGAACGGGUGAGUAACACGUGAGUAACCUGCCCUUGACUUUGGGAUAACUUCAGGAAACUGGGGCUAAUACCGGAUAGGAGCUCCUGCUGCAUGGUGGGGGUUGGAAAGUUUCGGCGGUUGGGGAUGGACUCGCGGCUUAUCAGCUUGUUGGUGGGGUAGUGGCUUACCAAGGCUUUGACGGGUAGCCGGCCUGAGAGGGUGACCGGCCACAUUGGGACUGAGAGACGGACCAGACGCCUACGGGAGGCAGCAGUGGGGAAUAUGGCACAAUGGGCGGAAGUCUGAUGCAGCAACGCCGCGUGCGGGAUGACGGCCUUCGGGUUGUAAACCGCUUUCGCCUGUGACGAAGCGUGAGUGACGGUAAUGGGUAAAGAAGCACCGGCUAACUACGCG